Molecule: ribosomal RNA, 468 nt
Filed under: uncultured bacterium
Lineage: Bacteria
Description: partial 16S ribosomal RNA
Rfam family: Bacterial small subunit ribosomal RNA
Source: RNAcentral
GACGAACGCUGGCGGCGUGCUUAACACAUGCGAGUCGAACGGAGAGGCCCUGCUUUUGUGGGGUGCUCGAGUGGCGAACGGGUGAGUAACACGUGAGUAACCUGCCCUUGACUUUGGGAUAACUUCAGGAAACUGGGGCUAAUACCGGAUAGGAGCUCCUGCUGCAUGGUGGGGGUUGGAAAGUUUCGGCGGUUGGGGAUGGACUCGCGGCUUAUCAGCUUGUUGGUGGGGUAGUGGCUUACCAAGGCUUUGACGGGUAGCCGGCCUGAGAGGGUGACCGGCCACAUUGGGACUGAGAUACGGACCAGACUCCUACGGGAGGCAGCAGUGGGGAAUAUUGCACAAUGGGCGGAAGCCUGAUGCAGCAACGCCGCGUGCGGGAUGACGGCCUUCGGGUUGUAAACCGCUUUCGCCUGUGACGAAGCGUGAGUGACGGUAAUGGGUAAAGAAGCACCGGCUAACUACGUG